RNAcentral lists this small RNA (109 nucleotides) under Epilithonimonas hungarica. RNAcentral's name for it is "Chryseobacterium hungaricum Flavo-1 RNA". It matches the Rfam family "Flavo-1 RNA". Lineage: Bacteria; Pseudomonadati; Bacteroidota; Flavobacteriia; Flavobacteriales; Weeksellaceae. The record is from RNAcentral.
CCCUAGCCCUGAUGGGAACGGCAUCCUUUUUUGUUUUUUCUGUAAGCUUCUAAUUGUUUACAACAUUUCCUGAAAAACAAAAAAGAUAUAGUGGACAGCAGGUUCCCGG